UUCCAGACUCCUACGGGAGGCAGCAGUGGGGAAUAUUGCACAAUGGGGGAAACCCUGAUGCAGCGACGCCGCGUGAGUGAAGAAGUAUUUCGGUAUGUAAAGCUCUAUCAGCAGGGAAGAAGUUGACGGUACCUGAGUAAGAAGCCCCGGCUAACUACGUGCCAGCAGCCGCGGUAAUACGUAGGGGGCAAGCGUUAUCCGGAUUUACUGGGUGUAAAGGGAGCGUAGACGGUUACGCAAGUCUGGAGUGAAAGGCGGGGGCCCAACCCCCGGACUGCUGUGGAAACUGUAUAACUGGAGUGCAGGAGAGGGAAGUGGAAUUCCUAGUGUAGCGGUGAAAUGCGUAGAUAUUAGGAGGAACACCAGUGGCGAAGGCGGCGUACUGGACAGUAACUGACGUUGAGGCUCGAAAGCGUGGGGAGCAAACAGGAUUAGAUACCCCCGUAGUC
RNAcentral lists this ribosomal RNA (449 nucleotides) under uncultured bacterium. RNAcentral's name for it is "bacterial SSU rRNA". It matches the Rfam family "Bacterial small subunit ribosomal RNA", at positions 329 to 795 of the family's 1533-position model. The record is from RNAcentral.